UGUGCUUAACACAUGCAAGUCGAGGGGCAGCGGGGGCAGCAAUGCCUGCCGGCGACCGGCGGACGGGUGAGUAACACGUAUGCAACCUGCCCAUAACUUGGGGAUAGCCUUCCGAAAGGGAGAUUAAUACCCGAUGAGACAGGGAUAUCACAUGAUAAUAUUUGUUAAAGAUUUAUCGGUUAUGGAUGGGCAUGCGCUGGAUUAGGUAGUUGGUGUAGGUAACGGCUCACCAAGCCUGCGAUCCAUAGGGGCACUGAGAGGUUUACCCCCCACACUGGUACUGAGACACGGACCAGACUCCCACGGGAGGCAGCAGUGAGGAAUAUUGGUCAAUGGUCGAGAGACUGAACCAGCCAAAUCGCGUGAAGGAAGACGGUAUUAUGUAUUGUAAACUUCUUUUGCAGGGGAGUAAAGUGAGGGAUGUAUCCUUUAUUGUAGGUACCUUGCGAAUAAGCAUCGGCUAACUCCGUGCCAGCAGCCGCGGUAAUACGGAAGAUGCGAACGUUAUCCGGAUUUAUUGGGUUUAAAGGGUGCGUAAGCGGAACGGUCAGUCAGCGGUGAAAANUACCUGCUUCACAGGUACACUGCCGUUGAAACUGCCGUCCUUGAAUGUA
Molecule: ribosomal RNA, 614 nt
Filed under: uncultured bacterium
Lineage: Bacteria
Description: bacterial SSU rRNA
Rfam family: Bacterial small subunit ribosomal RNA
Source: RNAcentral